GACGAACGCUGGCGGCGUGCUUAACACAUGCAAGUCGAACGGAAAGGCCCUGCUUUUUUGGGGUGCUCGAGUGGCGAACGGGUGAGUAACACGUGAGUAACCUGCCCUUGACUUUGGGAUAACUUCAUGAAACUGGGGCUAAUAGCGGAUAGGAUCUCCCGCUGCAUGGUGGGGGUGGGAAAGUUUCGGCGGUUGGGGAUGGACUCGCGGCUUAUCAGCUUGUUGGUGGGGUAGUGGAUUACCAAGGCUUUGACGGGUAGCCGACCUGAGAGGGUGACCGGCCACAUUGGGACUGAGAUACGGCCCAGCCUCCUACGGUAGGCAGCAGUGGGGAAUAUUGCACAAUGGGAGGAAGCCUGAUGCAGCCACGCCGCGUGCGGGAAGACGGCAUUCUGGUUGUAAACCGCUUUCGCCUGUGACGAAGCGUGAGUGACGGUAAUGGGUAAAGAAGCACCGGCUAACUCCGUG
Molecule: ribosomal RNA, 468 nt
Filed under: uncultured bacterium
Lineage: Bacteria
Description: partial 16S ribosomal RNA
Rfam family: Bacterial small subunit ribosomal RNA
Source: RNAcentral